Molecule: transfer RNA, 77 nt
Filed under: Chitinophaga japonensis
Lineage: Bacteria; Pseudomonadati; Bacteroidota; Chitinophagia; Chitinophagales; Chitinophagaceae
Also listed under: 5 other names
Description: tRNA-Pro
Rfam family: tRNA
About the family: Transfer RNA (tRNA) molecules are approximately 80 nucleotides in length. Their secondary structure includes four short double-helical elements and three loops (D, anti-codon, and T loops).
Source: RNAcentral
CGGGAUGUAGCGCAGCCCGGUAGCGCGCUUCGUUCGGGACGAAGAGGCCGCUGGUUCGAAUCCAGUCAUCCCGACUA